UACGGAGGGCGCAAGCGUUGUUCGGAAUCACUGGGCGUAAAGGGCGUGUAGGCGGUCAGGCAAGUCGGAUGUGAAAGCCCUGGGCUCAACCCGGGAAUUGCAUCCGAAACUGCUCGGCUAGAGUCCCGGAGAGGAAGGCGGAAUUCCCAGUGUAGGGGUGAAAUCCGUAGAUAUUGGGAAGAAUACCAGAGGUGAAGGCGGCCUUCUGGACGGUGACUGACGCUGAGACGCGAAAGCGUGGGUAGCAAACAGG
Molecule: ribosomal RNA, 253 nt
Filed under: uncultured bacterium
Lineage: Bacteria
Description: partial 16S ribosomal RNA
Rfam family: Bacterial small subunit ribosomal RNA
Source: RNAcentral